UUUUGAGUUUUAACCGAUUAAUUUGCAAACUACUCCAUAAAACUUGCUUUCCAAGUAGUUUCCAAGGUGUUUAUGGAAGGAUUUUUGGAGGACAAAGCCUAAGCUACCAUUUUUCUUGAGUUUUCAAGGUAUUUUACCAAGAACCUCUUCUUUACUUCAAUUAAUUGGUAAUUAGUGGUUGAAAGUUGUAGUUUUGGUAGUUUAUGAGUAUAUUUCAUAGUUGGAAGUAGUAUUAUGGAAAUUCCAGUUUAAGGUUUCAUUUUUCCCCUUUCUGUCCGUUUCUGUUCGACCAGGUUAGAGGCCGAAUUGGCCUUAGCACAAAACAUGAAAGUUGUAGAGAAUGAUGUUUUCUAGUUGCCUGUAAAAUUUCAGCCCAAUCGGAGCAACGUAGCCUGUGAAAAGACCGAAAUACCCCUGCUGCCCUGUUUCUAUCCGAGAAUGAUAAUCAGCUUCUGUAAUUGGUUGUUUUGACCAGGAAUACUACUGAUUUGGUUGUUGACGUCUUCUUAACAUUUAUAGCCUUGUAUCUUAGCUUUCCAAUGGCUUUGGAAUCACUUCAAUUGGAGUUGUAGGUGCUGAGAUAUGACUGCAUAAGUCAGGACUGCUGCAGUACACUUUGAACUGGAAAAUCUGGGGUUGUUUUGGUAAAUUUGACCUAGUUAGGAUGAGAACUGGAAUGUAUUGUCUUCAUUAAAGUUGUAUAUAUUGAUGUGUUUGAGGUUCCUGUAAAAUUUCAGGCCAAUCGGAGUAGCGUAGCUCAUGAAAAGACGGAAUUACCCUUGCUGUCCUGUUUUUACCCGAACUUGAAAACUGCUUCAGUAAUUGGCUAUUUUGGUUGGGAUUACUUCUGAUUUGGGUUUUGGUGCCUUCUUAGGAAAUGUAGCCCCUUGAGUCCUGAGUAUGCCUGUAAAAUUUCAGGUCAAACAAGUUAGCGUAUUCUGAGUUAUAGACAAAACCCUCAGGCCUGUUUUAGACAUUGGUUUGUGUACGUUUUGAAUUUCAGCUUCUGCCCGUGAUUUUUCGGUUUUGAUCCCGUACGAACUGGGUGCUGAUCCCUUCAUAAUAAAUUUAGAUCUUGAUCUUAGCUUCGAAACGGUAUAAAGUACGCCGAAAUCUGAGUUCCGUAGCCCCUGUUAUGAUCAAAACAAUAUCGCUCGUCAGAACUGCCUUGUAUCUGGACAGUUCUGACGGGUACCUUGGCACUCGAUUUUCGUUCUGUUCUGAGUGGAUUCAAGUCUUGGCCAAAACAUCAAAGUUUUAACCUUAUAUUUCAGCUUUCUAACGCCUCUGGAAUUUCUUGAUUUCGAUUCCUGAGCCGUGAGUUAUGGCCUUGCAAACAGGGCCUGUGUGGUAAACCGCAAUGAAACAGCUGGCACUAUUUCGUGCAUUUUUGACCUAUACCUAUUGAGAUCUGGGUUGAGAUGUCUAAAGGGAAGUUGUAGCCCUUCCUCUUAGCUUCGCAACGGUACCUCAUGUACCUUGAUCCGAUACUCCUAGCCUAACUUUUGACCAAAACGGUUUGAGAUGGCAGUUGUGGCCGUUUCCGUUUGCCGUUCCGCGCGCGCGCGUGCGCCCCUUUUUGCCGUUUCCGCAAAUUACGUGUGCCAAUUUUGCCGUUUUACUUGUUUUGGAUCGGUUCGUAGCCGUUUGUGACAUAAGUGAUAAAAUCUUGUAUUUCAGAUAGUGGUGAGCUAGGCGGAGCCGGUGGGGCCCACUACUAGCGAUCACGCGCGAAGCAAUCUUGUACUACUUUUGGUAUUUUGAGUAAGUAUUCAGGCCAGUUUGGUGUGUUUUCUUUGCUAUGUGUUUGAGAUAUGUGAAAAGGGCACUUAGGCGAGGGUGUACUUUAUCGCACUCGACCUAAACCCUAAUUUGAAUGUAUAAUUGUACUUGGCAUAUGUAUAUGAACCUUUUGGAACCAAAACCCUAGAGCUUGUGGCUCGGGGCGACUUUCGAAUAAAUUUUGUGAAGUUUGCAAAGUUUGUGAUUUUGAAUAAUUUUGUGAAGUUUGUGAGUUUGGGGCGAACUCUUGACCUGGUUGGACUAUUCGAGCCGGUUAGGGCUUGGUCGAAGGCAGUCCAACUUAGUCUGAGGUCACCAAGUUUGUAGGUUCAUGUUAUGAACCAAUUUUGUAAAUCCGGUUCACCGAGAAGGUGACCAAGUUUGUGACCCGAGCUUGUGACUCAAGCUCAAGUUUGUGAUUUCGUUCGCCCGGGCAAGUUUGUGAGGUGACUGGCCAGUGAGGGUGAAAAGGUGUCGGUGGGUGUACAAGUGAAGUUCUACGGACUAUUAUUUGCAGUCGACGGAGUGUCGGCAGGAGAUCACGCAUGGCACAUGAGUUGGCUUUGGAGCCACCUGUAUCCUUAUUAUGUGAUGUUACUUUUCUGCUUUUGCUUUACUCUUAUUGUGUAACUGUUACGUGAAAUUUAUGCUUUCGCCCCUGUUUACUUACUAAGCAUAUAGCUUACCCCAUUCCUUUUGUUUUCCUUAGCAGGGGCCGACGCGGGGACUUUUGGCUCGUAUACUAGUAUAGUAAGAUUGGCUUGUAAUAGUUGAACAGUUAGGAUGUUUGUUUUUGUUUUGGUGGUUUGACUCGAUACUUUUGGAGAAUGCAAUUAUAACUCUUUUUGGGAUUUGUAUAUAGUAUGUAAGGUACUCUUUUGGAUUUUCUAGUUUUUAUCGCUUUAAGGUUUGAGUCCUGGCGCGAGCUAGGCAGGCGGCCCGCC
This 2726-nucleotide long non-coding RNA is filed under the name Coffea arabica (coffee). RNAcentral describes it as "long non-coding RNA (CARA_LNC007328)". The record is from RNAcentral. Lineage: Eukaryota; Viridiplantae; Streptophyta; Magnoliopsida; Gentianales; Rubiaceae.